Molecule: transfer RNA, 64 nt
Filed under: Ellipsidion sp. BLA050
Lineage: Eukaryota; Metazoa; Arthropoda; Insecta; Blattodea; Pseudophyllodromiidae
Description: tRNA-Thr
Source: RNAcentral
GUUUUAGUAAUUUAAAGAAAAUAGUGGUCUUGUAAACCAAAUUUAAGUAAACACUUCUAAAACU